GGCCUACUGAUGACAGGGAGAGUGGAGACAGUGCAGUUGAAGAUGUACCAGUCAGUGAGGCAGCGAGGCAGCGAGAGGGAGAGCGAGGGGUCACCGAGGCAGAAAAAGAGAUUGAGGGCACAGACAGGGAUCCAACAGAGCCUUACCAGC
This is a long non-coding RNA of Lampris incognitus (smalleye Pacific opah), 150 nucleotides long. RefSeq lists it as uncharacterized. The record is from RefSeq and is a predicted model, not a curated record. The transcript is spliced from 3 exons. NCBI's taxonomy places the organism in Eukaryota, Metazoa, Chordata, Actinopteri, Lampriformes, Lampridae.